GGGCGGUUAACUCAGCGGCAAGAGUGCCACCCUUACAAGGUGGAAGUCGCAGGUUCAAAUCCUGCACCGCCCA
RNAcentral lists this transfer RNA (73 nucleotides) under Candidatus Omnitrophota bacterium. RNAcentral's name for it is "Candidatus Omnitrophica bacterium tRNA-Val". It matches the Rfam family "tRNA". From Rfam's summary of the family: Transfer RNA (tRNA) molecules are approximately 80 nucleotides in length. The record is from RNAcentral. Lineage: Bacteria; Pseudomonadati; Candidatus Omnitrophota.